AUUUUAGCAGUAUUAUUUAAAUGUUUAUGAUGUUUAUACUGCUGACAAGACCCCUUAUCCCUUCACUCCAGGAGUUAAAGUGAUUCAAUGACUUCUUUUCUUUUCGUCAGUCGGACCUCUCUAGCAACCUUUCAUGAAGGCAAACAUAACAUCUCCCACAUGUCCAUGGACAUUGCUAGGGGACUGAUGGUGACCUGUGGGACCGACCGUGUUGUAAAGGUAAGCUGGCGCGUUGUCUCAGCUUCUCAGUUUGGGCUGUUCCAUUGUCACACUGCGAAUGAGCUUCAGACAUUUCCAGACAGUUGCUGUUUCAACUGGUGAAUGUGCCUUCCCUUUGCAUAAGCAACCUACUGCCCACUUGAGACCCCAAGUGAGAAAUUGCAUGCUUGUGAUAAAUUGCUUCCCUGGUGGCAGGGAAUCUCUGGGGUUUCCCUUUGCUGUGGGAGGACGGCAAAGUGAGUUAGCCAGGCCUGGCUGCCCUUAGAUCCUGGGGUCCUGGGCUGUCCCCAGGUCUCUUCCUCCCAGUGGGCCUGGACCUUUGAUGGUGCCUGUGCCUACGCCUUCCAGGCCUUCGCAUGCUCCUUUACCUGUGGACAGAGGGCAGCCUAAUUGUAAGGGACAGCCACAUGUUUCUUCAUUAAAUCUCUGGGUCACUAACACAAAUGUUUUAUACUUAGUGUCCCGCUUGAUUUGUGAAACCGUGAAAUAUUUUAUACUCCCAGUGGGAUUUUUAAAAAAUUUAAAUGUAUAGCAAAACAUUACCGUAAUGUUAUUUUCUUAUACUGCCUAUAAGAUUCUUGCAGGUCAUAGUAAACUGCAUGUUUUAUCUCUCUGUAGAUCUUAAGAGGUUUUGUAAUGAGAGAGGAGAAUGGGAUAAUUGACUAUUUGACAACUUUUCUAGGUUAGCAGCAAUUUGUUUGUCAGCGUAGACUUGAUUCUAGCCUCAUGGUCAGUGCUGCCUUCUCCAUGUGUCUUAUUUCCCUUGUAGAUAUGGGACAUGACGCCUGUGGUGGGCUGCAGCCUGGCAACUGGGUUUUCUCCACACUGAUCCGGGAGCUGGGUGAUAUCAACACCUUACGAACAGUGGCCUCCACCAAGUGAAAUCCUUCCCAUGUAGCUCCACAGCCACUGUCACAAGCAUGGGCAGUAGCCACCUAAAAACAAAUCAACAUUUUUUAAAAGAAAAAAAUGUAAAGGUGUGUUUUUGGGCACUUGUGGAACUUGCCUGUGGGAACUAAUGUGGAAAAGGUCUGUCUGUAGUGGUUCCCUGAGGAAUGAAAUUACUUCAAUAAAAGUUCCUCAUGCACAGUGACCUCAUAGGUAAGGAAAGAGUAAUCUAGUAAAUGAGAGUUUUAGAGGGAGAAAAAAAAAAUAGAACAAAAAGUUAAUGCUUAAAUCUUCCUGAAAGCAGUCCCAAGUACAAAUACAUGUCCACUCAGACUAGCGGGCCUUCAAGGGCCCUUGAGCCUAUUGUUGGAGCAGGUGUUGGGGGUCAGGACAACCUGUAUUCCCUUUCUCCAGGUGUGCAAUAGGAACUUAGGAAACCAGAGGUCGCUCCCUGUGGCUGGCAACACAUGAAUAUUCUCUGUUUGCGGUUGCUGAUUAACUUACAGAUGUCUGUUCUCUGCAGGUAGCACUGUACUCUGUGCUUAGCAUCUAGCUCGCUUCAGUUGUUUCUCUUCCAGCCAGUAGCCAAGGGUGACUUUUGCAGUUGUUAUUGAGUUGUGAAAUUUCUCUAGUAACCAAGAUAGUCCACAUUUUUCCCUUUCCCUCAAAUGUGCUGAGGGCAUAGCUUUUUUAUGGUGCUGUUAAUAUGAGAGUCACACAAACACCCGACACUUUCUCAUUUCAGCUAGUAGUGACUAAUGAAGACCCAGCUGCCAUAUGGUGGUGAUGGGAAAGAGCAGUCUGCUUCAUGGAGCCCAGUUCUCCUUCAGACCUGUAGUCCCAAGACGAGCCCCUGCGAGAUUGUGGGAAUUUAAUAUGCUCCUCAGAAAAGCACUCCAGGGCUUGUAAGUGAGGCUGACUUUUAGUUUAACUGGUAUUAUCCAUGUCAUAGGAGGGAGUUGGUGGCCCACAGCUGUAAUGGGUGACCAUCAGGUCCUGAUCUAAAAGUAAUCCCUAACUUUUAGAUCAUCUUCACAACUGCCAAAAGCUAUUGUUUAAAAUGCAUUUUUAAAGCUUUUGACCAAGAGUACUAGAAUGAGGAAGAGGCAGGGAAUGGGAACCCAUCUUUUAAUAGUCAAAUAGUUCUCUGUGUGUUGCCUUAACAGCACGUGUAUCUUUGGUUUUGGGUUAUGGAAGUGAGUGGAGAAAGACUUACUUUUUGAAAAGACUAAUGUAAAAAUAAAUAGCAACAAUAUCUCUGUUAGUCUUACCAAUGGAUAUGGAUUAAAAAAACUUCUGCAUCACUGCAAUGGGAUCAUAUCAAGACAAUGUCAUCAUUCUGUUUGAUAACUAAAGGACUAAAUUUGCUUUAUAAACAUGGUUUAUGGGUGCAAAAAAAUUAAGACAGGCAAUGAAGCAAAGUUUUUUUAAUGGCUGUGUGACACAAAUAACUUUGGAAAGUGAAGGCAGCAGUACACCAUGUUCUGGAAUGAUCUGCAUUGGAAGCUGAAUUGUCUUGAGAAAUAAGAAUGAUCUUGUUGCUCCUUAUAAUUUUUUUGUUACAUCACCUGAAAAAGGUAUUUCUUUGAAAAACACUUCCUAGACUCUGCAAAAUGUAUAUUACUAACAUAAUGUGGAAGACAAAUUGAACAAUGGUAACUUUUUAACCACAAGGUUGAAUGUUCAACUUCAUGUAUUAACUUCAGUCAGUCAGUGGUUCACCCCAAACAGAAGUGCUUUUCUCUGGGUAUUAAGUCCUGAAAGGAGAGUAGAACAUGUUGGAGCUCUUACCCUGUGGAGCAGUGCUGCCCUUUGGCUGUGUUUUUCUUUAACUUCUGUAAAAUAUGACCUUUUAAUGUCUGUGGCAGAUAGAAGAGAAUAUCACAGCUGCUGAGAAUACACCAUAGCUUUCCAACUUUUUAUUUUAAAAAAGUCUUAAUAAACAACCCUGUGCUCCAUAGAGAGCACAGAGUUAUUUUAGGCCUUCUAAGGCAUUAAUAUGAAUCAAGGAGGAAAAUUAUAUUUAAGGAGGAAUCAGUGUGAGAUACCUUAGAAAAUUCUAGAGUGUUUAGGUAUGGUUUACUCUUUGCCUGAGCCUGUGAUCUCUUUUCAUUUAAAAAAAUGUGUUUGCCAGACUGAUCUUGUCUCUGUCACUUGUGAGGUUACAAAUGCAGUAAUAUUUUUGAUAGAGUGGGAGAAGAUUAUUUUCUCAGUGUUACUGAUUAGGCGCACAGGGAAGGUACAGAUAGCUGAUAGUUACUGCCUUAUUUUGACUGUGUUUCUCUUAAACGGGUCGCUUAAGAUAGUUCUUCGUGUAGCAGUUUACUGUUUUUUCCAUUCCUGAAUCUUCAAGCUAAUUUGUACAAAUAGGGACUAAGAAGUACAGAAAAUUAGACAAGAUCCUUAUGUUUAGAUCUAGAAUGUAUGUGAUAAGGAAAUGCCAAUUCUUCGUUAUCAGCAUAUUUUGAAAUCGUCCCUGUUUUUAAAUAAGUCUAAGUGAUAGUAAUACCUCUGUAGCAUUAGGUAGAAACAUGUUAUUAUUCACUACCUUGUAAAUCUCUGUUUAUUACGUCCUUCUUCUGUCUUGCUACCUAGAGGAUAUAAACAAAAAAAUAUUACUCUAGAACAUACCACUUUGUUCUCCCUUUUAAGGAUUCAGUUUGUUAGUAUCUAUAUUUUUUAAAGCUGUUGAAACUGACCCAAAUAUGUAAUACAAACUAUAGCAGCUCAGACUCCAGGAGAUAUUUUCUAAAAUCAAUGUUCAUUAAAGUUCUUUCUACUUCUGUUACUGAAUCUGGUGUUCUCCUGAAAAAUAAGAAACCAGUUAUUAAUGACAUCUGCUCAUUAGAUAUGUGAGGUUUAACAAAUAAGUAAUACAUGCUACGUUUAUUCAAGUGUCUAUUGCUUAAUUGUUAAUUGUGAGCAGAUUAUCGAAAGCCUCCUCUAUUUUAUGUAGUUUACAAUAACUUUGAAUAAGUUGAAGUUUAAUUGUGCAGCAAAUUUAUAUUAGAGUACAAUUUAAAGUGUUUUCCUGUAUAGCCUUUUUUGACUGGGGAAGCAGAGGGUGAUAUUAAUUAGUACUCUUUGUUCUUGUACUAGCGUUUCUAGAAGAUAUGGUGCACAGCAUAUCCCAGAGAGGCUAGAAAACUUUGUUCUCUGCUCCUAUUGUGGAUUCUGUUUUUGUGGGGUUUUUUUUUUGAGAAUAUACAUACAAUAAAAUAUUCCUUGCUUGUUACUACGCUGCUU
This 4353-nucleotide long non-coding RNA is filed under the name Marmota monax (woodchuck). Lineage: Eukaryota; Metazoa; Chordata; Mammalia; Rodentia; Sciuridae. The record is from RNAcentral.